Molecule: ribosomal RNA, 486 nt
Filed under: uncultured bacterium
Lineage: Bacteria
Description: partial 16S ribosomal RNA
Rfam family: Bacterial small subunit ribosomal RNA
Source: RNAcentral
AUUGAACGCUGGCGGCAUGCCUUACACAUGCAAGUCGAACGGCAGCACGGGUGCUUGCACCUGGUGGCGAGUGGCGAACGGGUGAGUAAUACAUCGGAACAUGUCCUGUAGUGGGGGAUAGCCCGGCGAAAGCCGGAUUAAUACCGCAUACGAUCUACGGAUGAAAGCGGGGGACCUUCGGGCCUCGCGCUAUAGGGUUGGCCGAUGGCGGAUUAGCUAGUUGGUGGGGUAAAGGCCUACCAAGGCGACGAUCAGUAGCUGGGCUGAGAGGACGACCAGCCACACUGGGACUGAGACACGGCCCAGACUCCUACGGGAGGCAGCAGUGGGGAAUUUUGGACAAUGGGCGAAAGCCUGAUCCAGCAAUGCCGCGUGUGUGAAGAAGGCCUUCGGGUUGUAAAGCACUUUUGUCCGGAAAGAAAUCCUUGGCCCUAAUACGGUCGGGGGAUGACGGUACCGGAAGAAUAAGCACCGGCUAACUACGUG